AACCUGUCUCCUUUGACCAAUCAGUGAAACUGAUCUUUCGGUACAAAAGCCGAAAUAAAUACAUAAGACGAGAAGACCCUGUGGAGCUUCAAAUUAUAACCAAAACAUGCUAACACAGCAUACUGAGCCAUGGCUAAAAAUUUUAAGUUGGGGCGACUUCGGAAUUAAACAAAACUUCCGAGAAUAAAGAGCAUUCCUCUUACCAAGACCAACAAGUCAAAGCAAAUAUUGACCCAGUACCACUGACCAACGAACCAAGUUACCCCAGGGAUAACAGCGCCAUCUUCUUCAAGAGUCCAUAUCGACAAGAAGGUUUACGACCUCGAUGUUGGAUCAGGACACCCAAAUGGUGUAGCAGCUAUUAAAGGUUCGUUUGUUCAACGAUUAACAGUCCUACGUGAUCU
This 404-nucleotide ribosomal RNA is filed under the name Oplurus grandidieri. RNAcentral describes it as "partial 16S ribosomal RNA". It matches the Rfam family "Bacterial large subunit ribosomal RNA", at positions 2013 to 2606 of the family's 2925-position model. The record is from RNAcentral. Lineage: Eukaryota; Metazoa; Chordata; Lepidosauria; Squamata.